AAAGCGGGCCAGGCGAUCGCGCGUGCGGCAUGUUCGCAUGUGAGGAAAGUCCGGGCUCCACAGGGCAGGAUGCUGGCUAACGGCCAGGCGGGGCGACCCGACGGAAAGUGCCGCAGAAAAGAAGACUCCCACCUACGACUCGUCGUAAAGGGAAAAGCUGAAACGGUGGUGUAAGAGACCACCAGCGUCGUGGCAACAUGGCGGCUUGGUAAACCCCAUCCGGAGCAAGCGCAAAUAGGAACGCGAUGGGCCGGCCCGGUCCGCGUUCGGGUAGCGUGCGUGGAACUGCACGGUGACGUGCAGGCAAGAUAAAUGAUCGCCCGCGACAGAACCCGGCUUAUCGGCCCGCUUUGCCU
RNAcentral lists this RNase P RNA (356 nucleotides) under Collinsella sp. BA40. RNAcentral describes it as "Bacterial RNase P class A". It matches the Rfam family "Bacterial RNase P class A". Rfam says of the family: Ribonuclease P (RNase P) is a ubiquitous endoribonuclease, found in archaea, bacteria and eukarya as well as chloroplasts and mitochondria. Its best characterised activity is the generation of mature 5'-ends of tRNAs by cleaving the 5'-leader elements of precursor-tRNAs. Lineage: Bacteria; Bacillati; Actinomycetota; Coriobacteriia; Coriobacteriales; Coriobacteriaceae. The record is from Rfam by way of RNAcentral.